GCCCUCAUAGCUCAACGGUAGAGCACGUCACUGUUAAUGAUGUGAUAGGUGUUCAAUUCACCUUUGGGGCU
Molecule: transfer RNA, 71 nt
Filed under: Claviceps humidiphila
Lineage: Eukaryota; Fungi; Ascomycota; Sordariomycetes; Hypocreales; Clavicipitaceae
Also listed under: 6 other names
Description: tRNA-Asn
Rfam family: tRNA
About the family: Transfer RNA (tRNA) molecules are approximately 80 nucleotides in length.
Source: RNAcentral